Sebastes umbrosus (honeycomb rockfish) is the source of this 309-nucleotide long non-coding RNA. RefSeq lists it as uncharacterized. The record is from RefSeq and is a predicted model, not a curated record. The transcript is spliced from 3 exons. NCBI's taxonomy places the organism in Eukaryota, Metazoa, Chordata, Actinopteri, Perciformes, Sebastidae.
GGUGCAUGACCUGACAGAAGUGAGCAGGAGCUGGAGACAGGGACAGAGAGCCAGACCAGAGCAACGGUCUCACCAGUUUAGCGACCCAUCCCGACCCACAGGCGACGUCCAGAACCCGAGCUUCUUCUGGACUCCCGGAGAAGUUAUCAGACAGGAAGUCUACUGCCAGGACUUUUACAGGACUGAAAUGCGACCCUCACAUCGUCUUCAGUUCUGACAGAGUCGGACAUGAUGAGGAGACAAACCUGCCGGGAGACAGACCAUAGACGUUUAUUGUCAGACAAUGAAACUGGGACAGAAGCCAAUAUA